GACGAACGCUGGCGGCGUGCCUAAUACAUGCAAGUCGAACGCUUCUUUCCUCCCGAGUGCUUGCACUCAAUUGGAAGGAGGAGUGGCGGACGGGUGAGUAACACGUGGGUAACCUACCCAUCAGAGGGGGAUAACACUUGGAAACAGGUGCUAAUACCGCAUAACAGUUUAUGCCGCAUGGCAUAAGAGUGAAAGGCGCUUUCGGGUGUCGCUGAUGGAUGGACCCGCGGUGCAUUAGCUAGUUGGUGAGGUAACGGCUCACCAAGGCCACGAUGCAUAGCCGACCUGAGAGGGUGAUCGGCCACACUGGGACUGAGACACGGCCCAGACUCCUACGGGAGGCAGCAGUAGGGAAUCUUCGGCAAUGGACGAAAGUCUGACCGAGCAACGCCGCGUGAGUGAAGAAGGUGUUCGGAUCGUAAAACUCUGUUGUUAGAGAAGAACAAGGACGUUAGUAACUGAACGUCCCCUGACGGUAUCUAACCAGAAAGCCACGGCUAACUACGUG
RNAcentral lists this ribosomal RNA (508 nucleotides) under uncultured bacterium. Its description in RNAcentral is "partial 16S ribosomal RNA". It matches the Rfam family "Bacterial small subunit ribosomal RNA", at positions 28 to 507 of the family's 1533-position model. The record is from RNAcentral.